GGCACACAGUCCACAACCGACUGGCAGCCAUGAAGAUCCUGUACCUGCUCUUUGCUGUUCUCCUCUUCCUCUUCCAGGCUGCUCCAGGUUCUGCAGAUCCUAUUUUUGCUGACACCGCAGAGUGCAGGAGCCAGGGAAAUUUCUGCCGUGCUGGGGCAUGCCCACCCACCUUCGCUGCCUCGGGGUCGUGCCACGGGGGGCUGCUGAAAUGCUGUUCGAAGAUUUUGGCAAAGUAAGCAGAGAAGGCUUUCCUGGGUCAGUGUCCUUGUACCAGCAACAUUUCCACUGCCUUGAGGAGGCGAUUUUGAUGGAUUCCUCCUCUAUCUAAACCCUCCUGCAAAUGAGCAUUAAAAGAAGCUUCCAGAGGGCACAUCCUGUUAGCACACCGCUUCUGGAGAUCCAGGUUUUUCCUCGCUGAAGUCACUCCCUUUUUUGCUUUUAAUACACAAGCCACUUCGGCACCUUGGCCACCUAUUCCAGCCUACCUCACGGGGAUGUUUGGAUGUUCAAUCAGUUCAGGUUCAUGCAGCUCUUGGAGGAUGUGAAGCAACAAAUAUAUUAUUAUUUUAUUCACACACAAAAAUAAAUGUUGUCUUAAACCAA
Molecule: non-coding RNA, 603 nt
Organism: Nipponia nippon (crested ibis)
Lineage: Eukaryota; Metazoa; Chordata; Aves; Pelecaniformes; Threskiornithidae
Source: RefSeq, a predicted model, not a curated record